ACUCCUGACCUCAGGUGAUCCACCCGCCACAGCUUCCCAAACUUGGGAUUACAGGCAUGAGCCACCAUACCCGGCGCUCCUCCUUUCUUACAGCUACAUAGUCAUUCAGUUUAUUUAUCCAGUCCCUUACUGAUGGACAUUUAGUUUGUUUCUGAUAUUUUGCUUCGCAAACAAGAACAUCUAAUACACUUAGUGCACAUGUAUGAGUGUUUCUUGAGGAUUUAUUCCUAGAAGAGAGAUUGCUGGCUCAAAAUAUGUAUGAAUUUUUCAUUUUGAAAAAUACUGCCAAGUUGGAGUGGAGAACUUUUUUCUGUGAAGGAGCCCUCCAUCCCUAGAGCUGAACCAGUGAUGAAAGGCACUCCGGGUAGAAAGAGCAUGGACUUUCCAUUCAGAUGUAUUUGGGUUCAAAUCCCAGUUCUGCCACCUUUUUCCUGUGUGACCUUGGUUAAGUCACUUAACCUCUCUGAUUUUCUGUUUCCUUAACUGCCCAGUGGAAAUAGUAAGAGCCGCCUCACAAAGCUGUUGCAAGGAUCAAAUGGCAUCUUGUAGGUCAAUCCUCUAGCGUGGGCCUGGUACGCAGUAGGCUCUUGGCCCAUGUUAGUUUCCUUUCCCUGACUGAACCCUUUUCUGCAUCCAUCAUGGAAGACAAGCUCUGGGGAGUGGCUGGGGAAGGUGAUUUAUUAAUGAACGUCACACAGAAGUCAGGACUCCACAGUGGCUCCUUCUAAAGGUCACCUCUAAAGGCAACUCUUAGAGGUAAGGACCAUUUCACGUAAAGUUGUAAGGAUCUGCUUUUGAGAACAUAGGCUAGGGUGCCGACAGAGAUCAGACCUUACUGGAGGACCUCUUCCUAAAUGAUCCCUUCAUCCCAGACACUGCCCUCCAUGCCUCAGUCUCUGCAGAAGAGGAGAAAGAGAAUCCUCCUCAACAAGAGGAGGGUGGCUGGCUUUUACACAGGGAGUGGCUAGACUGGUCUCUUCGCAGAGAAUAGAACCAGAAAACAGACAUCAGACAGACUGAGGUCGGGCAGCAGGGUGGCAUUUCUGUCUUGGACACACAGCAUGAGUGUGAGGGAAGCAGCAGGGUGCCCCACUGGAGGUCCCUACCCAGGAUGGCCUAUCCAUCUCCGUGUCUUGGUUCAGCGGGAGAGGUCUGGAAAUCCUUUGGAGGUGGUGGCCAGAUUGCAUCCAUAGUCCCAGCCAGACCCUCAGCAAUGCCAAGAGCCUCUUAGCUGCAGGUCACUGUGCUCCACUGUCUGUAGGCCACUGCCCCACCUUCAGGGCUAUAGUUUCUUUCUUCUGGAAACCACACAGGACAUGAGAAUCCCAGACUGGGCUGCCCUUCCUGGAAGAGGAUGUGUGUGUGAGCCCAGCAGCCGCUGUGAUGGGGCCCGAGGUGGUGAUACUGGCAAAAAAAAGGGGGAGCUAAGCAGCAUGGUGGUAGCAGUGGUGACAAGGCCUCCAGUACAUGUAGCCAUGAUGAGUGACACUCAGUAGGGUAGGCUGUGGUGCCUUUAUCCAGAGUCUAAAUGCUUGCUUUCAGUUCCACCUCCAUAUAUUACAUGCUGUGUGGCCUGGGGACAGUAGCUUUCCCUUUCUGACCUCGGUUUCUUCAUCAGUAAAAUGAAGAUGCUAAUACCACCUGUCCUGUCUUCCUCAAUGUCUCCAACCAGCAGGUGCCUUUAACAUGCCACGAGGCAAGAGUGAACUCAGGUGGAGGUACUUUGCUAAAAGCAGCCCAGGUAGGAGGAGAUGACUGAGUAGAACUGGCCGUGUUAUCCUCAGAAUGAUUUCUUGCUUCCCCAGGAGACUCCUGUUGCUGUGACGAUUUUUCCUGGUUCUCAGUCCCUGGACUCUGGGAUAGCUGAGAUCUUCUGGCUCUCGCCUCACAUAGCAUCUCACAGUGAUGUCCUGGCUUCCUGCCUAGGCCCCAAUCACCAGUUCUGGUGCUGACCCUGCAGGUCCUAGCUCCCUCCCAGCCGGCCUAGAGACAGGGCCCAGGCUCAUUGGAAGGAACAACAGGAGACUUGCCUGAAAGCCAAAUGUUCUACCCAACAGGACCUGAUUAUGGUGGCCAAGGGGCUGUACCUGGGCAGUCUCACCCAAGGGACACUUCUCAGGGGUCAGGAGAAUUUCAGCUCUGUGUUUACACAUGAUUCUAGGCUGAGGGAGAGAGAAAAAGCAGGGUAGGGGGUGGCAGAUUAGGCGAGGGAAUGUGUCCCCUAGAUGGUCCCUUAGCUCAUAGUGGAAGUGGGCUCUAGAGCGCCUUGCCCAUGCCCUCUUCAUGCUCUAGAGAGGUGGGCAAAGGACAAAGUAUGCGACUACCCAGGAGAACCAGCCUCCAGAUUGAGAUUGGAGAUGAAGGCCACUCAGUCCCCUCCAUUGCAAAAAGAAUAAAAGAAAGGAGUAGGAUUGGCCAUUGCUUGCAAAUAAACAGGAGGGGGCAGUGUUGGGGUAAUGACCUCCAUCCGGGGAGGGUCAGGAAGGGAGCUGUCCUUUACUGGGCACCCAGGAGAUGCACCUGUACAAUUUCAUUCAUUCUCACGACCACCUCGUUAGGUAGGCACUAUCUCUGUGGCUCCAUUUGGCCAAUGAAAAGGAUGAAGAUCUGAGAAGUCAAGUUACACUGCUAGGAAGAGGUUGACUUGGAGUGGAAACCCAGGACUGCCUGUCUGACUGCUGAAUGGGUGCUUUGCGUUCCUUACCUGCCCUCCCAGGGCUCCAGACCGUCCCUCCUGCACAUCUGCCUCUCCCAGGCCGUGCCUGCAUGUCCCCAGCCCCCUCCAACAGCUCCAUCUCCCGAGAGCUCCUUGAAUCUCCUCACUCACUCCUCACUCUUGCUUCCUCUUUGGAAUCCAGCCACAGGCUUUUUUCUUCCAUCUGAGGGAGAGAAAAUGGUCUCGUUCCCCACCCCCAGGUCUUUCCAUCCUCUCAUCCAUCCAAACCUAAGCAUCUCUCACUCCUCCCCUCCCCCUCUCUUAUUUUUUUUUUCUUUCUGUUUAUCCAUCACUAGAAUCUACCCCCCUUCCCUCUUGCCUGUAGGUUCUGUGGCUAUAAACAAAUCAUAACUUUUAUUAAAUUUAAGAUUACUUUUUAAUGGAAUCAAUUUCUUGUGUGGUGCUUCUCUGCCUGCCCGCGGGCUCUGCCGGCUCUGCGCUCAGCAUCCCCACCCGCACAGUUGUCUCUGCCGCUGGCGUUUCUGGCUAAGCUGCCUCUGAAGGAGGGGCAGGUCUGCCAUCCCUAAACACACACAGAGAAACACACACACACAUGCACACACUCCCACACACACACGAAGAUGCACCUUCCUGCAAGGCCCAGACACAGAGCCGCCAAGCCCCAGGUGCCCACACUGAGCGGCAGGGAGUGGGAGAGGGGCAGGGGCAGGAGGAGAGAGCUGCAGAGAGAAAGACUGAGGGUGCAAAACAAAUGCGGAGCCGAGCAGACAUUUCUCAGCCUGUUAAUUUCCUACAGUUCUGUUUUCCAGCCUCAGAAACAAGCUGGUUUCUGCCAGUCCACCCCCUUCCCUCUGACUGCAUUGUGCAGCUGCUGAGCAGAGAGAAGUUGCAGGGAGGAGGGGGUUCCAGAGGAGAAGCGAAGAGACUCAGGUUUUCAUACGAUUUAUCAAAGUACAGGCAAGAUGCAGAGAUGCUUCUGAAGCUGUGACCCCAAAAAGAAGCUCAACUGGGAGAUUUGCAGCCUGGACCAGUCUAACCCUACAGGUCUGGGCUUCAGGAAGAAGGGAACCUGGGGGUGCUGCAGGGAAUACUUUGGAGGUAGGAGAGAAAAGAAAGAGGGGUUGGAGGGUCACUUUGAUGGAGGGAGCAGGGGCUGGGAGAGGUAUUGGGGGAGUUCUCAAAACGAGCUCAUGGGGGGCCUAGAGAUGAGGAUUUGCAGACUCAGCAAAGACUUGGCUGCCUCCUUGAGGCAUCGGCAUGGCUCUGGUCUCUGUUCCAGCUUUUCUGGGAGUAUCCCUGGACACUCUUAGGUAGACAGGAGAUCAUGGGUGGGAAGGUGGAUCUGAGGCCUGAGGGUGGCCCCCCUUGGCCCACUACACUGUCCUCAGCACACAUUGUUAGUAAACUGAGUGUCAGGCGGGAGACCUCAUGUUCAUCCAGGUACAUGUUGCAAAGCUCAGUGAAUAAGAGCACAGCCUUUGGAAUCAGAGAGGUCCACAAAUCUAGACUCUGAAGCUUUCUAACUGUGUGACCUUGAAUAAGUGACCUAACUUCUCUGAGCCUGUUUCUUACUCUGAAAUAAGGAUUCAGUAAAGUGAUGCAUGUGGAACAUCUAGCGUAAAGCCUGACAGAGUAAGAGUUCAAGUGGAUUGCUAAUAUUUGUAUUAUAUCUUCUAAGCACCAACCAAAUGCACACACAUAGCCCAUGAUCCCCCGUGCCUAGGUUGAUUGGGACCAGGCAGGCCUCCGCUCUUGGAUUAAAUUCAGGCUGGGACCAGAGACCAUGUGAGUGACAGUUCCCAGGAUUGGAAUUCAGGACACAGCAGGGCUCUUCUCCCUCCUUCAGGUGGAAGAGUGGCUGAAGGGCUUGUCAGGAGAAGAGGUGAGGGACUGAUGAAGCCCCCUGGGUACUGAAGGCCAAACUCCAUUCCUUACCCCUGAUUUUCAGGGAGCAAUGAACCUGAAGCCGGGUUUCUUCUAGGGCAGAAUAAAAGGAAAACAUCCUGUGGCCAGUUCCUGCCCUGCAGCCUCUGAUAGCCUCCUGUUGGCUUGGGGGACUUUAGAGGGCUCUGACAUCCUUAGACAAGGCCUAGAGAAGGGGGUCUAUAAAGAUUUAAUUUGGCACAGGGCAUGAGUGCCCUUUCUAUCCCUCCUGUCCUUUAACCCCAGGGGGUAGGAAAAAACUCAAGAAUGCAAACAAGGGGCAGAACUGGAAAAGGCUGGUUCUGGUAGUGAAACCCCUCAUGUGCCCAAACUUGGGAGCAGAUGCCAACAUGGCUGCAGUCACAGUACAACCAGGAUCGGCGGCUCAGCCCCAUCAGGCUGUACUUUGGAGCCCAGCCGCUUCCUUGGAGAGAGGGACAGCUGGAGCCUCCUCUCCCAGGCAAGAACUCACCUCUCAUCUUUCUAUUACCCCUAAAAGGAGGCUGUUUCAACGGGCUCAGCAACUCCCUCGGUUUGACCCCUGACACAAGCAUGCCUGCUGAAUCUACACCUGGACCUAAAGACUUGUAGAGUCCUUUCUGGGGCUGGAUGUUCCCACAGGACAAUUACCAGUCAUGCAUACAGAGCUUUGCUGCCCAAGGGGACUUUCUGAGGGCUGAAUAUUAUUUACUUCAACUCUCCUUUGACAAGGCACCUGAGGCCCAGAUGGGGAAAGUCACACAGGACUGUGAUGGGGCCUGAUCGAGAUCUCCUGAAUCUUCCCAGUGCUGCUUGCUGUGCUUUGUGGCCCUUCCUCUGGCUGUAACUGUAAUCCCACCUAUACCUUAGGUUGCACAUGCUCAUACAGCGCUUACCAUGAGCCACCCUCUGAGGCAGGUACUGUUAUGAUUCCCAUUUUACAGCUGGGGAGGCUGAGGCUCAGAGAGGUUAAAUACUUCCCUAAGCUAGUAUGUGGUCGAGCUAGAAUUUGAAACCAGAAUGUCCUGCCCCAGAAUCUAGACUCCUAACCACUGGGCUGUGCUACCUCUCUUCUCUGGAAGCUUCACCUGUACCUGGACACAUUUACCUUCACUUUCCUCUUCUCCUGUCCUUAGCUUUCACCACCACCUUCACAAUUUCUCAUUUCAGGCUAAGCCAGAUAAUCACCCCAGACACAAGGGCAGGCUCAGCACUGCUAUCAAAAUCCCUUUUCCUUUUAUCUUCUCCAUCACCAUCUUAGCCUUAUCGCGUUCACUAUCAUGAUCAACUUCACCAUUUAUAAAGUCUCUAAUUGCAAAUGACUGUGUACCUAUAGACCAAUGCAGAUCUAACCCCUGCCUUGGGAUGGGAGGAUGGGGCUUACAGUCAAACCAAACAGCAGUUUAAGCCACAUAUACUCCUCCCUUUGUAAGUAAAGGUACGAAACCAGAAUGUGGAAGGCAGUCUUCUUCUUAAGAGAUUUUUCUGCAAUAAGAUGGAGGUGGUGAAGGAGAAGUUUCGAACAGCCAAAGAGUGCCUGCUGAGGGAAAUUAAUCAAUGGCCAAGAAGAUUGCUUGUCAUCUUUCAAUAUCUAUAAGAAAUAACGAGCCUCCAGAGAGGGAGCUAGAGCUCCAAGGGAAAAGAAGACCAGUGGGUACUCUGUCCAACUCAUGCCUCUAAGGAGCUACAGGAGAAAGAUGGAGCCAUAGGCAGCUUCCACCCCUUUGGAUGGUGGCCAACACCCAUCUCCCCAGCCACAGUAUCUCUCACAGCCCCUGGGGAAGCCAGAAGCAAGCAACACUGCCCAGGAGUUUUAAAACUGAUUCUUCCCUUAAGCUCAAGUCCCACCCACCUCCCAACCCAGUGAGCUUGCUGGUUGGCUGUCCAUGAGUGUUGGCUGCCAGAUGUGCCAUCAUCCGGCACAGGAUGUACAGGAAAGAGGGCAAUGGCUUCCCGGACCAGAGUCUCCACCCAGAAUUCCAGCCAAGGCCCCAGAGCUCCCAGGACCUGGAGAAUUUGUUCCCCCUGGUUGUGUUUGGAAUUGGCUGGUUUUCUGGGCACCAGGCCCAGCUCAGUUUAAUUUUUGUUUAUUUUUAUGUACAGAUUCUCUUCUGUUUGGGGAUGAGCUUUGUGUAAAUUAUUAUUAUUUAUAUGAUAAAGAAUAAAUCACACCAAAUAAAAAAACCCACAAUCUCUUUUUCUCAAUAGAAUUACUAAAUUAGGGGCUGAAAGGAACAGCCGAUAUGCUGGGGUUUGGUUUCAGGAAGGCUUUGGACAUGGAUUCUCGCAAAACGUCUUAGUAAAUGGGCUCUGUUAUCCUGGAUUUGAUGCUACCCACAGUCCGCAGAGGCAUAAGGGGCCUCCCAGAAAGAUGGCAGUGGUUCAGGCCUAAGGGUGGCUUCCUGGCCCUCCAGACAUCCCACCCCUGGAGAGAUGAGUCGGGCAUUUUGAAGUGAUUCGCUAACUCAGAAUGGGGAAAAAAAGGGAAAACAGGAGUUGGGGAUUCUUGCCAGAACAUGAUCAAAUGCCCUGAACUGGGGUGGGGGUAGGGUUCAUAGGAGUUACUUGAAUAGUGGCAUUAUUACAUCAGGGAAAAUGAGCCAAUCAUUUCUUUGCCUAUUCAUUAAAUUUGCAUGCUAAGACUCUAUUGGUUGGAAUGAAAUGAGUCAGGAGGCAGGGAUGCAGAUGGGCAGAGGACCAGCUGGGCCUGGAAAGUGUCCCCAAGUGGCCCCCAUCCCAGCCAGGAAGGGGUUGAUGGAUCCAGGCUGAAGAAAUGAGGUGGGGUUCACACCCCAUAACUUCUCCCUCCACUCUAGCCCUUCCCACCCCCAGCCUGAGCAAGAGUGGACCACUGAGAGAGGCCAAGCCUCUGAACCAGAGCCAGAGCCUCUCCAUCCCAGGCUGACCAGCUGGCUGCUACCCUUCCAGCCUGCUCGUGGCCGGUCAGUCCAGGCCAGUGGCUAGGAGCCCAGGCCUGGAAGGGCAGAGGCGGCUGCAGCAACCUGAGCACUCGAUAAACCAUUAAUUCUUAAUAAACGACAGGCUGUGCAUUAUUUAACAAUAAUGAUACUUUCUGUUCCAUUAUAGAUUAAAACACCGGCCUCUUCUUAUUAAUCCUGCGUUUCAAAAGCUUGUAAAUCCUGCACAGCCGGAAGAGAUAAAAGCCGGCUCAUCCCCAUCCCAGGGCUGACAUUCUUGCACUGACAGUGGCUCAGCGGCUCGACUUCUGUAUGCACACGCGUGUGCUCUGGGCCCACCCACCACCCAGCUGCACCAACAGCUGCAGGGGUCCUCAGAGGGAUGCGGUGGGGAGAAGGAAGAUAAUUCCAUAGAGAAGGAAAAGAAGGAGGAUCACAGAGAAGAAAGGCAGAAGCAGAAAACCCGAGACCAAACAGGCUGAGUAGUUUCAGAGCCCUCUUGGCAGACUCUGACAGCCACAUGGAGAGCACCUAUUGCAAUCCUCAGUGGAUGCUCAAAGCCCUUCUGUAUUGCCCUCAGGCUCUAUUUACAUACUCCCAGGGACAGGGAGCUCACUGGCUAUGGAGGCAGCCUUUUAUAUUACUGCAAAGAGAGCUUCUUCAGUAGGAGUUCAUAUUCACUUUCAGCCUUCCUUUGGCAAAUGCCAGACCUUUGGAAAUCUGAAGGCUGCCAUUCCAGCUUCCUGAUGACACCUUCGGUCUCAAGCUAACCUUCCCCAUCCUUCCUCCAGGCCUCAUGCGUCAGUGGGCUGAGCCCUUCCUUCAUCCUAGUUCCCCUGCUCAGUGCCACCGGGGUGUGUCAGAGAACCAGUAAAGGUGGCUCCAAUGCUGACCACAGUCCUUCCUGUGGUGCAGCCGGAACAGAGGCCAGCUAGGCCCUCCUCUCAUCUGGGGAUCAGAAACCAUUACUGAAGGUUUGAGAAGAAAAAUCACAGUGACCUUGAAUGUCUCUCCCAAGGUCAUUGCAAAAAAUAAUAUCUGUUGUCAUUUAUUGAACUUUUACUAUACAGUAGGUACCCUGUUUACAUCCCUUAUCUUGUUCAAUCCCAUAAGAGUUGUUCCAUUAUUAUUCCAUCUUGCAGAUGAAGUAACACUUGGAGUGAUUAAGCUAACUUGGCCAUGGUCACACAGCUAAGUAAGUGGUGAAGUCAGAAUUUGAACCUGGUACUGACUCUGAAGCCCUUGCUUUUAAUCUGUGGAUGUUCUCCCCAGCUAUUUGGAAACAAAAGUGGUUUUUUUAGUCAAGUGGGCCCCCAAAGUCAGAGAGACUGCUGUCCGUGAAGCUAAAAUAUUUUCUCCAGGAUUGGACUAAUGGUUUCCCACCAUGGGCUUUCCAGGUGGGGGUAGAGCUGGGGUAGAGAUCUCUGGCAUUUUGGUUUAUACUUGCUGGAUAUUUCUUUAGGUCGAGGAGGAAGACAGUGUUCAUAACACUUACUGAAUAUUCCAUCUGCCAGGUUCUAUUCAUCUGUUUUAAUCUUCACCAUGACUCUGUGCAGUGGAUGCUAGCCCCAUUUUAAAGAGUAGCAAACUGAGGCUCCAAGAGGUUAAGUCACUGGCAUUUAUGCUUAUAGCUUGUGAGUUUUGGAGCUUGUCCGUGAUGUUUCCUAAGAGGAGAUGAAACGGAACACUUACUUUUAUGGAAUGAGGUGUUGCCGGAUUUUUUUUAGAAAGGGCAGGUGCGUGUGUGUGUG
This 9248-nucleotide long non-coding RNA is filed under the name Homo sapiens (human). RNAcentral describes it as "HSALNT0329916". Lineage: Eukaryota; Metazoa; Chordata; Mammalia; Primates; Hominidae. The record is from RNAcentral.